CCAGACCCAACGGACUUGACAUGGCAAGAGUACAUUCAUACGAGUUCAACAGGGGCACGACGGCCUCAAAAGUCCAUUCACUUCGUCACGGGGUGGGGUGAUACUUUUGGCUGGUUAUUUAGGUGAUAACGGUUCUGGCUCGGCGCAUCCAUGGUCACCAGCUGGCCGUCAAGCUCUAGCCCAUGGCGUACUUCUGUGUCCAGGAGCGCGCCGUGGACUCAUACUUGGCCCUAUCAGUCUUGUACAUGUGAGCGAUCUCGGGCACCAGAGGAUCAUCGGGGUUCGGGUCCGUCAGCAACGAACAGAUUGACAGCAGGACCUGUUAACAGACAGGUAAACGUUAGAGAAACAUAACUGAAGAUUGUUGUGAGAUGAUGUUGCAAAGAAACCAAACUUAUAUCAGCAACAAGCUUUAAGCAAAAAAUGAAACGUCCAAGCUAGGAAUGCAGAUCAUUACCUUUGAUAUGGUCAAAGCCGGGCUCCACUGUUCCUUGAGAAUGUCAAGGCAAAUGCUGCCGUUGCUGUUGAUGUUUGGGUGGAACACCUUGGUGCGGAAAGAGACCUGAAAUAUGUUAAAGUCCGAAUGUCAGACAAAAAUAGAUGCAUAGCAGGCAGCAGCAACCCAGUUGUUUGAGGAGCCCCAAGACAUUCGUGUAACAGCAAUUCCAGCAUCAAAGGAUCAAGAUGAACUAUUUUUUUACAAAGGUCAGUUCAGUACACUGGAAAUUACCUUCGGGGGCUUGAAGGGGUAAUCCGGUGGGAAAUGAAUGUUCACCAAAAAUAGGCCACCGGUGAACGGGCUGUCCGAGGGUCCCAUGAUAGUGGCCUGCCAGUGGAACAUGUCCUCACCUACAGGACCUGCCCAGAUAAAAGGAGAGAAAUACAGUAUUACACAACAGUCAGACAAACACAUUCGUACCAAGCCAGUCAAGUAUUGAGUAAGAAACAAGUCUCAUUUGCUGCGAGAUCAAAUAGUUUCUAGAUUUAAUUGUGUGAACAAGUUCAAAAUUAGAAAUGACAUUAUGUUAUCAAGGGUUAUCAAUCCUAUACACAUCCAGUACAAUGAUUAGAAUAAUUCAAAGUUCAUUGAUUUUAAUUUCAAGAGGUUAGUGGAACAAACUGCUGUAUUAAAUAACAUCAAGACACCCAGGAGGCCAGGACAUCCACUGUAGCCAGAUCUCCAUUAAAACACAGAACAUCAGGUUUACACACAUUAUGAAUGUUAAAGUUACUUCAGUAAUUUUAUUUAUUCCUAUAUGCAUUGAUAGACCAAAGAAAACAGGUGACCAUUACAACCACCAGCUACUAAAACAUAGGCCACUCAAUUAGUUUUACACAACAUUAACAAUGCUAAAGUUGCUCCAGUAAUUAUAUUUCUCCCAGCAUGCACUGAUAGACAAGGGAAAACAGGUGAUCAUUGCAACCUACUAAAACAUAGGCCACUCUUGACAAUUCUCUCUAUUGAUUAGGCUAGUACUGUUUAUGUUCUUUAAAUCAGGUUUAAACAUUAACAAAGCUAAAGUAGCUUCAGUAAGUAUAUUUAUUCCAGUAUGCAUUGAUAGACCAAGGAAGAAAAGCGACCAUUGCAAGUCACCUACUAAAACAUAGGCCACUCUCGACAAUUCUCCCUAUGGAUUUGGUUGGCACUGUUUAUGUUUCUUAAAUGGUCUAGUCCAUGCCUAACAGAUAAGGUUGGUACAGUAUGUUUAAUAAGUAGUCCUAGUCCAUGCAUAACUGUCCAUAUAAACUGCAAGUCCUUGGCGAUUUUAAUUUCUUCUGGUUAAUGGCAGUUAAGAUAGCAUAUAGUGCCACAGGGUGGUGCAUGUUCCGCCCAUGUGGCACUGACCUAAUGAGCUGUUGACAGUAAACUGUAAUAAGGUUGGCAUACCUUAACAUAACAGAACAAAAUCCAAGGGUUUUUUUAAUGGCCUGCUCAGAAGAUACAUCACACACAUGACAUGAGUCAAUCAUAUUAAUAGGCCAUGCACAGUUCAUAAGCAGUAUUCUCCACCAAUCAAUUCAGCAAACCUAAAAGCACUGCGCGAGCACAGCUAAACAAUCGACAACCUAACCCCCAUGACCAGAAACUAACAACCAAGACCACGCAAACGGCGCGCCCAUCCUGACGCAAUUCUACUCGGGGCGAGAUCUAGACGGAAUCGAACGGGGCGGAGGGGAAAUCACCUGCGCUGCAUGAGGUGGGAGGGUCCUUCUGCAGGUCCUUGAGCUCCUUGAGGAUCCUCUUGGACGCCAUGGGAUCAAACCCUAAAUCACCGAAAUCCGGCACAGAUCAGGCCCUAGAAAACAGAUCGAACAGAGGGACGGGGUGUGGCGUCGCGCGUACCGACCGGCGGGGGCGACGGGGCCGGCGGUGCUGCGGCGGUGGGCGGCGGCCGCCUCUCCCCUCUGCGGCGGCGGACGGCGGUUGGGGACCACGGGGCAAGAGGGGGCGAGAAGGAGUCGGAGGAUUUGGGUGUGGGCAGGCCGGGGGCGCAUUAUAUAGGGCGGAGGGGCGGCCUCGGCCGUCCGAUCGCGGAUCGACGGCCGCCCGCGGCUCGCGUGAUGCUUACGCUGGACGCGCACAGAUUCGCCCCCCUUUCGGUGCUUUUCGGGUGGGGAGGGAAAUAAGAAGGUUUUUUUGGGGAAAUUUCGCAAACAAGACGCCAUUAGCCCUGAGCCGGUGACGAUGACAGGUGGGGCCGGUCCCAACUCUAGGGUAUUUGGAGGUAGUGAUUCCCUUGAUGAAGAGUAACAUUUUUUCUCUCUACUACUUAUACAGUACUUCCUCCGUUUCUAAAUAUAAGUCUUUUUAGAGAUUUCAAUAUGGAGUGUACAUUCACUCGUAUGUAGUCCGUAGUGGAAUUUUUAGAAAGACUUGUAUUUAGGAACGGAGAGAGUACUUAUAAAAGGUGUUCUUUUCCAAAGUGAUUCGUCCAACCUUACAUACGUUUUUCCUCCUUCUUUUCUUUUUGAUUUUCCUCUGUCUUUGGGGUUUUUCACCGAUUUCCCAUGAAACCCGUCUUAAAUAUCCCACCUUUUAUUGAGUUAACAAAUAAAAUUAUGUUGUCUUUCAUAAACCAAUAAAAAAUGAUAAAAACAUGAUUUUUGUUUAGGUAGUCAUUGGUAGGGCUUUUUAAAACAUUUAUUUACAAUCCAUCGGGGUUUAAGUAAUAGACUUGGCACACGUGCACGCAUUUUUCUGGAUUUAUUUUAGACAUUUCGGCAAUGUUUAUCCAGUUAGAGGAGACGUUCCGUACGACUACGAAACGUCUGUGGUGACUUUGUUAAUCUUAAUAUGUUAUGUCGGCUCAGUAUCUUUGGGUGAGUAUAUAUAUGCGUAUGAGAGCAUUUGCGGAUUGUAUUGUGUACCAAAAUAAUAUGGGUCGGUAAAUCAUGGACUAACAUACUAGAAUAUUUAUAGCAUGUGACAAAGCAUGAGCAAUUGUCUAUGUCAUUUAGAAAAUAGUGUCGCUCCUACUGCCAGACAAAGUAUUUCGUCCAAUCUUAUAUACGUUUUCCCUCCCUCUCUCCGUUUUAAUUUUUCCUCUCCUAUUUUAUUCAUUGUUUUAUUUCAAAAUCGUCUUAACUAUUCCAUCUUUAAUUGUCUUAUUUCAAUAAGUUCUUACCAAAUACUUCCUCCUUUUGGAGGGACGAGGCUCCUCUGCCGUUCGGCAGGGUGCCGUUCCAUCCCUGACAGGUGGGCUCAUUGAAAAACAGGCCCACAUGGCAGUGCCACAACUGCAGGUGAUGUACGUCAGGGGAGCCGCUUCCCUUUUGGAGAUACUUGUCGGAGUAAUGGAUGGAUGUAUCUAGACGUAUUUUAGUUUUAGAUACAUCCAUUUUUAUCCAUUUCUCCAACAAGUAUUUUUAUUUAGGUAGAUAAACCAUAGGCGGAAAUUUAUAAAUAUUUAUUUGUAUAAUCACAUCAGGGCAAGUAAAAACACGAGCUAAUGUAUUAAAUAUUUAUAUCAAUGUGAUGCGUGGAUAAUUAUCUAGUGAAGGAAAGAAGAAAAGGAAGAUGACGAGAGACCAUGCUGGAUGAAUAUCCUUUUUUGUGCGGAAAAGGAACUUUCCAUUCAUCAACUAGGGGCCAUGGCGGUGCGGUGGAUCUCGGCCCUUACCAGCGAGAGGGCUCUAUUUUCAAUUGUUCCUUUGCGUUUUUAUUAGGUUUAUGUCCUGCUCAGGAAGACGAGACGACGGCGGCUCCCUGAAGAUGGAAUAAGAUUAUCCCCGCCUAGCCCCCGUCCUUGGCGUGUGCAGGUGUGUCUCCGGCAAAUCUGUCCUUGGUGGAUUUGCUCGAAUCUAGUCGUAGUUCGUCCACAUUCAUCUGUCUUCAGGUUCGAUCCUUCCGAUCUACGUUAUUCUUCAUCGGCGGCGGUUGCUGUUUUGCUGCGCUGGUCCUACAGGGCCUUAGCACAACGACUUCCUGACUGCCUACUACUACAAGGUUUGCCCGGCUCUGGCGAGAGAGGGGUGAUGACGGCAGCGCGCCUUCGGCUCGCUUCGGUGAUUGUAGUCGUCGCUAUGUGGUCUACGGAUCUGAAUGUAAUUUUUUAUUUAUUGUGUUUGUUGUACUGUCAUAAUUGAAGAUAAAUAGAUCGAAAGUUUUCUCGCAAAAAAAGCUAGGGGUGUUAUAGUCUCGAUUAUAUAAAGGAGAAUCUCCUCCGGUGCAUGGUAUACCCAAAUAGUCGUACGAGUCAUACCCGUCUGAACAAGCUUAUGGAUGACAGUGAUGCUACUGGAAUUUUCUGUGAUCCCUCUCAAAUUCUGACUUGGUUACUGAAAGUUCCAAGUUAGGCCUAACAAACUAGAAAGAAAACAGUACAUGUUUAUAUUCUAUACACAAUUAUACUAAAAGAGAUGUUUAUAAUUUCCAAAAGGGAAUACUCAACAAAUUUUAUGGAUACAUAAUAGUAGUUUGUUAGUAAAACCGCGGAUAGAAAACGUGAUAUAUCUCCCAUUGACAAAAUAGGGAAAAGUCAAAUUGGUAGCACGUGGCAGACAACAUUUGGUAGUAAUACCUUUUGGUUUCUGGGAGUAUAUACACCCUGUAUGAGUUUUUUUAAUAACUACAAAAAAAGUUUAGUUUUUUUGAAUAAACUAGAUUUCUUGCAUUAGUAUAUAAACUUUGUCAAACAAAAACCAAGCGUUGAGAAAAACAAAUUUUAUUUGCUAUUAUAGGUCACUAUUCACACUAUUUUGGCUGAAAAGUCUUGCUACCUCUUAAGCAUGCGUUGGUUUCCCUUGAAGAGGAAGGGUGAUGCAGCAAAGUAGCGUAAGUAUUUCCCUCUGUUUUUGAGAACCAAGGUAUCAAUCCAGUAGGAGACUACACGCAAGUCCCUCGUACCUGCACAAACAAAUAAGAACCUUGCAACCAACGCGAUAAAGGGGUUGUCAAUACUUGCAAAAGUGAGAUCUGAUAGAGAUAAAAGAUAAAUAUUUUUGGUAUUUUUAUGAUAUAGAUUGAAAAGUAAAGAUUGCAAAAUAGUAAACGAGAUGUAAUAUGAUAAAAAGAGACUCGGGGGCCAUAGGUUUCACUAGUCGCUUCUCUCAAGAUAGCAAAUUCUACGAUGGGUGAACAAAUUACUGUCGAGCAAUUGAUAGAAAAGCGCAUAGUUAUGAGAAUAUCUAGGCAUGAUCAUGUAUAUAGGCAUCACGUCCGCGACAAGUAGACCGAAACGAUUUUGCAUCUACUACUAUUACUCCACACAUCGACCGCUAUCCAGCAUGCAUCUAGAGUAUUAAGUUCAUAAGAACAGAGUAACGCAUUAGGCAAGAUGACAUGAUGUAGAGGGAUAAACUCAAUCAAUAUGAUAUAAACCCCAUCUUCUUAUCCUCGAUGGCAACAAAAAAAUACGUGCCUUGCCGCCCCUGCUGUCACUGGGAAAGGACACCGCAAGAUUGAACCCAAAGCUAAGCACUUCUCCCAUUGCAAGAAAGAUCAAUCUAGUAGGCCAAACCAAACUGAUAAUUCGAAGAGACUUACAAAGAUAUUUAAAUCAUACAUAAAAGAAUUCAGAGAAGAAUCAAAUAUUGUUCAUAGAUAAUCUUGAUCAUAAAACCACAAUUCAUCGAAUCUCGACAAACACACCGCAAAAAGAAUUACAUCGAAUAGAUCUCCAAGAGAAUCGAGGAGAACUUUGUAUUGAGAUCCAAAGAGAGAGAAGAAGCCAUCUAGCUAAUAACUAUGGACCCGAAGGUCUGUGGUAAACUACUCACACAUCAUCAGAGAGGCCAUGGUGUUGAUGUAGAAGCCCUUCGUGAUCGAUUCCCCCUCCGGCGGAGCGCCGGAAAAGGCUCCAAGAUGGGAUCUCACGGGUACAAAAGGUUGCGGCGGUGGAAAUAGAGUUUCGUGGUGCUCUCGAUGUUUUCGGGGUAUAUGAGUAUAUAUAGGCGAAAGAAAUAGGUCGGUGGAGCCACGAGGGGCCCACGAGGGUGGGGCGCGCCUACCCCCUUGGGCGCGCCCUCCUACCUCGUGGCUGCCUCGUUCCUUCCUUGACGUCCACGCUAAGUCUCUUGGAUUGCGUUUGUUCCAAAAAUAACUCUUCCGAAGGUUUCAUUCCGUUUGGACUCCGUUUGAUAUUCAUUUUCUGCGAAACACUGAAAUAGGCAAAAAAACAGCAAUUUGCAUUGGGCCUUUGGUUAGUAGGUUAGUCCCAAAAAUAAUAUAAAAGUGCAUAAUAAAGCCCAUUAAACAUCCAAAACAGAUAAUAUAAUAGCAUGGAACAAUCAAAAAUUAUAGAUACGUUGGAGAUGUAUCAAGCAUUUUCAAGCUUAAUUCCUGCUCGUCCUCGAGUAGGUAAAUGAUAAAAACGGAAUUUUUGAUGUGGAAUGCUACCUAGCAUAAUUCUCAAUGUAAUUUUCUUUAUUGUGGCAUGAAUGUUCAGAUCCGAAAGAUUCAAGACAAAAACUUAAUAUUGACAUAAAAAUAAUAAUACUUCAAGCAUACUAACAAAGCAAUCAUGUCUUCUCAAAAUAACAUGGACAAAGAAAGUUAUCCCUACAAAAUCAUAUAGUCUGGCUAUGCUCUAUCUUCAUCACACAAAGUAUUUAAUCAUGCACACCCCCGAUGACAAGCCAAGCAAUUGUUUCAUACUUUUGAUGUUCUCAAACUUUUUCAAUAUUCACGCAAUACAUGAGCAUGAGCCAUGAACAUAGCACUAUAUGUGGAAUAGAAUGGUGGUUGUGGAGAAGACAAAAAGGAGAAGAUAGUCUCACAUCAACUAGGCAUAUCAACGGGCUAUGGAGAUGCCCAUCAAUAGAUAUCAAUGUGAGUGAGUAGAGAUUGCCAUGCAACGAAUGCACUAGAGCUAUAAGUGUAUGAAAGCUCAACAAAACAAACUAAGUGGGUGUGCAUCCAACUUGCUUGCUCACGAAGACCUAGGGCAUUUUGAGGAAGCCCAUCAUUGGAAUAUACAAGCCAAGUUCUAUAAUGUAAAAUUUCCACUAGUAUAUGAAAGUGACAACAUAGGAGACUCUCUAUCAUGAAGAUCAUGGUGCUACUUUGAAGCACAAGUGUGAUAAAAGGAUAGUAACAUUGUCCCUUCUCUCUUUUUCUCUCAUUUUUUUAUUUGGGCCUUUUUCUCUUCUUAUUUUAUGGCCUCUUUUUUUUCUUUUCUUUUUUUUCUUUUCAUCCGGAGUCUCAUCCCGACUUGUGGGGGAAUCAUAGUCUCCAUCAUCCUUUCCUCACUUGGGACAAUGCUUUAAUAAUGAUGAUCAUCACACUUUUAUUUACUUACAACUCAAAAAAUUACAACUCAAUACUUAGAACAAAAUAUGACUAUGUGAAUGCCUCCGGCGGUGUACCAAGAUGUGCAAUGAAUCAAGAGUGACAUGUAUGAAAGAAUUAUAAAGGUGGCUUUGCCACAAAUACGAUGUCAACUACAUGAUCAUGCAAAGCAAUAUGACAAUGAUGGAGCAUGUCAUAAUAAACGGAACGGUGGAAAGUUGCGUGGCAAUAUAUCUUGGAAUGGCUAUGGAAAUGCCAUAAUAGGUAGGUAUGGUGGCUGUUUUGAGGAAGGUAUAUGGUGGGUGUAUGAUACCGGCAAAUGGUGCGCGGUAAUAGAGAGGCUAGCAAUGGUGGAAGGGUGAGAGCGCGUAUAAUCCAUGGACUCAACAUUAGUCAGAAUGAACUCACAUAUUUAUUGCAAAAAUCUAUUAGUUAUUGAAACGAAGUACUACGCGCAUGCUCCUAGGGGGAUAGAUUGGUAGGAAAAUACCAUCGCUCGUCCCCGACCGCCACUCAUAAGGAAGACACUCAAUAAAUAAAUCAUGCUCCGACUUCAUCACAUAACGGUUCACCAUACGUGCAUGCUACGGGAAUCACAAACUUUAGAACAAGUAUUUCUCAAAUUCAUAACUACUUCAACUAGCAUGACUCUAAUGUCGCCAUCUUCAUAUCUCAAAACAAUUAUCAAGUAUCAAACUUCUCAUAGUAUUCGAUGCACUUUAUAUAUAUGAUAGUUUUUAUUAUACUCAUCUUGGAUGUUCAUCAUAUUAGGACUAAUUUUAUAGCCAAAGCAAAUUACCAUGCUGUUCUAAGAGACUCUCAAAAUAAUUUAAGUGAAGCAUGAGAGAUCAAUAAUUUUUAUAAAAUAAAACCACCACCGUGCUCUAAAAGAUAUAAGCGAAGCACUAGAGCAAAAUUAUCUAGCUCAAAAGAUAUAAGUGAAGCACAUAGAGUGUUCUAAUAAAUUCCGAUUCAUGUGUGUCUCUCCAAAAGGUGUGUCCAGCAAGGAUGAUUGUGGUAAACUAAAAAGCAAAGACUCAAAUUAUACAAAACGCUCCAAGCAAAGCACAUAUCAUGUGGUGAAUAAAAAAUAUAGUAUCAAGUAAAGUUACCGAUAGACAAAGACGAAACAGGGGAUGAAGCUUAGGCUUUUGGUUGUCCUUGAAUUUUACCUUGGGGUGCCUUGGGCAUCCCCAAGCUUAGGCUCUUGCCACUCCUUGUUCCAAAACCCAUCAAAUCUUUACCCAAAAACUUGAAAACUUCACAACACAAAACUCAACAGAAAAUCUCAUGAGCUCCGUUAGCGAAAUAAAACAAACCACCACAUUAAGGUACUGUAAUGAACUCAUUAUUUAUUUAUAUUGGUGUUAAACCUACUGUAUUCCAACUUCUCUAUGCUUCAUACCCCCCGAUACUAGCCAUAGAUUCAUCAAAUAAGCAAACAACACGCGAAAAACAUAAUCUGUCAAAAACAGAAUAGUCUAUAGUAAUCUGUAUCAAACGUAAACUUAUGGAACUCCAAAAAUUCUACCAAAUUAGGAAGUCUUAAGUAAUUUUUUUAUUAAUCUACUGCAAAAAGAAUCAACUGAAAAGCACGUUUCUGUGAUUUAUGAAAACUAAUCUUGUGCGCGCAAAGUUUCUGUUUUUUACAGCAAGAUCAAAUAACUAUCGCCGUAGGUUAUCCUAAAGGUUCUACUUGGCACAAACACUAAUUAAAACACAAACACCACAAUCAUAGCAGUAGCAUGAAGGAUUAUUUAUUACUAAAUAGAAACAAAAAGCAAGAAACAAAAAAUAAAAUUGGGUUGCAUCCCAACAAGCGCUAUCGUUUGACGCCCUAGCUCGGCAUAAAAGCAAGAAUAGAUCUAGGUAUUGCCAUGAUAAUGAUAACGCAAAUCGCAAAAACUCAUCUCAUACUCCCUACGUUCAGCAGCAAGUUUUCUUUGUGGCAAGUAAAAGUAAUCAAAAGGGCUAAAUUUAAUGGGACAAAAGUCCCCAAGAUCAAGCUCGGGAGGUAUUGGUACCUCCUUUGGCCCCUCAUAUUGCACAACCAAUUCAUCGUUAUAAGCAUUCUUUUGGCAAAAAGUCACGAGCCUUUGUUCAAGAGAAAAACCUAACCCAUUGUUCUGGAUAGCAAAGUUAUCAUUAAAUUCAGAAAUCUUGUUAACUAGAACAUCGGUAGGGACCUUUUUUCUAAGGUUUUCAUUAAAAGCAACAUGAUCUAAAGAUCGUAAGCGCAUUAUGUCUUCUUGAUAAAAAAGGAUCGCUUCUAUGGGAGGACGGCAGGCAUCCACCCUAUAAUGUGCAAAGAUUUUGUUUGCUUCUUUUAUUAUAAAUCUGAACUCAUGAGCUAAAAAGAUGGUAGCUGCACGCUUAACAGAAGAAUGCUCAAUAUUGGAAAAUUCUAGAAAAAUCCUCUGUAUCCAAGGAUGCAUGUGGAUAAAUUGUAUUUCAAGUUCAACCACAAGCAAAGAUAUAGCAUCCGCAAGACUACUAGUUUUGUGAAGAAUAGACCCGCCCAUAGUGGGCAAAGCACCGGCGCAAGUAAAGAAAUCUUGAAUAACUCCUUUUCCAAUAAUAUUACCACUACCAAUCCGAAACUUUUUAGUGUGUAAAAUAAUAGGUUCUUCAUGAGCAUUAUCAAAAGCAUCAAAGUUUUCCAUGUUAUUUCCAUUAUCCUUAUCAACGAUAACCUCCCCAGUUUCGGACAUGAUGGCGGCAAAUUGCACAAAGAGCGAGCACACAAAAGGUAAGCAAAAAGAGACGAUCGGAGAAAAAAAAGGGCGAAUAAAACGGCAAAGGUGAAGUGGGGGAGAGGAAAACGAGAGGCAAAUGGCAAAUAAUGUAAUGCGAGGGAUAAGAGUUUGUGAUGGGUACUUGGUAUGUCUUGACUUGUGCGUAGAUCUUCCCAGCAACGGCGCCAGAAAUCCUUCUUGCUACCUCUUGAGCAUGCAUUGGUUUUCCCUUGAAGAGGAAAGGGUGAUACAGCAAAGUAGCGUAAGUAUUUCCCUCUAUUUUUAGAACCAAGGUAUCAAUCCAGUAGGAGACUACACGCAAGUCCCUCGUACCUGCACAAACAAAUAAGAACCUUGCAACCAACGCGAUAAAGGGGUUGUUAAUUCCAUCACGGCCAGUUGCAAAAGUGAGAUCUGAUAGAGAUAAAAAGAUAAUUUUUUUUGGUAUUUUUAUGAUAUAGAUUGGAAAGUAAAGAUUGCAAAAUAGUAAACGAGAUGUAAUAUGAUAAGAAAGAGACCCGGGGGCCAUAGGUUUCACUAGUGGCUUCUCUCAAGAUAGCAAAUUCUACGGUGGGUGAACAAAUUACUGUCGAGCAAUUGAUAGAAAAGCGCACAGUUAUGAGAAUAUCUAGGCAUGAUCAUGUAUAUAGGCAUCACGUCCGCGACAAGUAGACCGAAACAAUUCUGCAUCUACUACUAUUACUCCACACAUCGACCGCUAUCCAGCAUGCAUCUGGAGUAUUAAGUUCAUAAGAACAGAGUAACGCAUUAGGCAAGAUGACAUGAUGUAGAGGGAUAAACUCAAGCAAUAUGAUAUAAACCCCAUCUUUUUAUCCUCGAUGGCAACAAUAAAAUACCUGUCUUGCUGCCCCUGCUGUCACUGGGAAAGGACACCGCAAGAUUGAACCCAAAGCUAAGCACUUCUCCCAUUGCAAGAAAUAUCAAUCUAGUAGGCCAAACCAAACUGAUAAUUCGAAAAGACUUGCAAAGAUAUUUAAAUCAUACAUAGAAGAAUUCAGAGAAGAAUCAAAUAUUGUUCAUAGAUAAUCUUGAUCAUAAAUCCACAAUUCAUCGGAUCUCGACAAACACACCGCAAAAAGAAUUACAUCGAAUAGAUCUCCAAGAGAAUCGAGGAGAACUUUGUAUUGAGAUCCAAAGAGAGAGAAGAAGCCAUCUAGCUAAUAACUAUGGACCCGAAGGUCUGUGGUAAACUACUCACACAUCAUCGAAGAGGCCAUGGUGUUGAUGUAGAAGCCCUCCGUGAUCGAUUCCCCCUCCGGCGGAGCGCCGGAAAAGGCUCCAAGAUGGGAUCUCACGGGUACAGAAGGUUGCGGCGGUGGAAAUAGGGUUUCGUGGUGCUCUCGGAUGUUUUCGGGGUAUAUGAGUAUAUAUAGGCGAAAGAAGUAGGUCGGUGGAGCCACGAGGGGCCCACGAGGGUGGGGGCGCGCCUACCCCCUGGGCGCGCCCUCCUACCUUGUGGCCGCCUCGUUCCUUCCUUGACGUCCACUCCAAGUCUCCUGGAUUGCGUUUGUUAAAAAAUAACUCUCACGAAGGUUUCAUUCCGUUUGGACUCCGUUUGAUAUUCAUUUUCUGCGAAACACUAAAAUAGGCAAAAAAACAGCAAUUUGCACUGGGCCUUUGGUUAGUAAGUUAGUCCCAAAAAUAAUAUAAAAGUGCAUAAUAAAGCCCAUUAAACAUCCAAAACAGAUAAUAUAAUAGCAUGAAAUAAUUAAAAAUUAUAGAUACGUUGGAGACGUAUCAAGUCUACGAGUGUUUUUUCAUUUUGUGGAUUUUUUCUUACAAGUACAACGGAAGGUCAACUUUAUUUCUAAAAUAUUUUCAGAAGUUUUUAUUUAAUUACUAUUUUUUCAUAUAGGGUGUAUAUACACCUAUAGAUCAAAAGUUUCCCUUCGAUUUACAACCACAAUGACCUAAUCUGGGGCCUAUAUGUCCGCGGUCGCGUUCGGGCCCGUCCGCGCACAAUGACCGAGCAAGCAUUCAAAGUCAGCGUCCACAACCGGAUCCAUCAAAUAAAAUCCUCAAAUUCAUACUCCGAAUAAAAGAACAAUUUUGCUAAAGCACAUCUAAAUGUGUCAUAAAUAUUACACAUCUAAGUCUUAUGUCAUUGAUCUUGCGCGGAGAUUCGUGUGGGUAUUUUCUUUUUCUUUUAUACUUGAUUUAGUCACUUAGAUGUGCAAUUUAGACGUGCCCUAGACAGAAGAACUACUACUUCCGUAUAUAGGGAAAUUUGCUAAGGAUCCAAAUCUUACAAAAUUCCUCUCUACUUACUUAUAUAGUACUCCCUCCAUUCCUAAAUAUUUUUUUUUAGAGAUUUCAAUAUGGACUACGUACAGAUGUAUACAGACGUACUUUAAAGUGUAGAUUCACUCAUUUUGUUUUGUAUGUAGUCCGUAGUGGAAUCUCUAGAAAGACUUAUAUUUAGGAAUGGGGAGAGUACUUAAAAAAGGUGUUCUUUUCCAAAGUGAUUCGUCCAACCUUACAUACGUUUUUCCUCCUUCUUUUCAUUUUGAUUUUCCUCUGUCUUUGGGGUCUUCCACCGAUUUCCCAUGAAAACCGUCUUAAAUAUCCCACCUUUUAUUGAGUUAACAAAUAAAAUUAUGUUGUCUUUCAUAAACCAAUAAAAAAGAUGAAAACAUGAUUUUUAUUUAGGUAGUCAUCGGUAGCACUUUAUAAACACUUAUUUACAACCCAUCAGGGUUUAAGUAAUAGACUUGGCACCGGUGCAUACAUUUUUCUGGAUUUAUUUUAGACAUUCUGGCAACGUUUGUUCGGCUAGAGGAGACGUUCCCCACGACUACGAGACGUCUGUGGUAACUUCGUUAAUCUUAAUAUGUUGCGUCAGCUUAGUAUCUUUGGGUGAGUAUAUGCAUGCGUAUGAGAGCAUCUGCGAUUGUAUUGUGUUCCAAAAUAAUAUGGGUAGGUAAAUCAUGGACUAACAUACUAGAAUAUUUAUAGCAUGUGACAACGCAUGGGUAAUUAUCUUUGUCAUUUAAAAAAUAGUGCCCUCCUAUUUUAUUCAUCAUUUUAUUUCUAAAUCAUCUUAACUAUUCCAUCUUUUAUCGUCUUAUAAAAUAAAAUUAUGUUUUAUUUGAUAAGUCAAUAAGUUCUUACCAUAUACUCUAUUCAUUCGGAAAUACUUGUCGAAGUAAUGGAUGGAUGUAUCCAGACGUAUUUUAGUUUUAGAUACAUAUAUUUUUAUCCAUUUCUCCGACAAGUAUUUUCGGACGGAAGGUGCAAUUGUUUUUUGUUUAGGUAGAUAAAUCACGGGCGGAAAUUUAUAAAUAUUUAUUUGUAUAAUCACAUCAGGGCAAGUAAAAACACAAGCUAACAUAUUAAAUAUUUAUAUCAAUGUGGCAAUGCACGGAUUAUUGUCUAGUGAAGGAAUGAAUAAAAGGAAGACGAGAGACCAUACUGGAUGAAUAUCCUUUUUUGUGCGGAAAAGGGAAUUCCCAUUCAUCAAUUAGAGGUGUUACGUGCAGUGGCGGAGCUAGCGAGAUAUUACUGAGGGGGCAAAUAGCCAAAUAUAAUUGCGUGGAGAAGCCAAAUACUGUAUUUAUCUUAAUUUGUGUCAUCCUAAAUGGUGUUUCUUCACAAAAUAAUCAUGGGCUGGGGGGCCAUGGCACCCGUAGCACACCACAUAGUUCCGCCAGUGGUUACGUGUAAGGGAGAAUCUCCUCCGGUGCAUGGUGUACCCAAAUAGCCGUACGAGUCGUCAUACCCGUCUGAACAAGCUUAUGGAUGACAGUGUUGCUACUAGAAUUUUCUGUGAUCCCUCUCAAAUUCUGACCUGGUUACCGAAAAUUUUGAGUUAGGCCUAACAAACUAGAAAGAGAACGGUACAUGUUUAUAUUCUAUACACAACUAUACUAAAAGAAGAUACUUAUGAUGUUUACAAUUUCCAAAAAGGAAUAUUCAACAAGUUUUGUGGAUACAUAACAGUAGUUUGUUAGUAAAACCACGAAUAGAAAAUGUGAUAUACUCCCUUCUUUCCGGUUUAUUGGGCUCAUCUCAUUCUCUUAGCUUUUUCCUAUUAUAAGUCUUAUUUUCAAUUCUUUCCAUCAUGUGUUCACAUUUCAAGGUGCAUUAAAUUGACGCACGCAAGAAUUAAAAGAAACCAACCAAUGCAUGUAACCAUUCUACUCAUUUAGUGGUCAUCCAUGCAUAUACUGCAAUUAAUGCAGAUUAAAGUUUGAGUAAUUUUAAAACUACGAGAUAUAUUCCUCCAUUCACCAUCUACCUUGGUUGAUGAGAUUUCAGAUUUAAACCCUGUAAACCGGAAAGGAGGGAGUAUCUCCAUUGACAAGACAUGAAAAAGUCAAAUUGGUAGCACGUGGCAGACAACAUUUGGUAGUUCCUGGUUGUAUAUACACCAUAUAUGAGAAUUUUCCAAUAACUACAAAAAAAGUAUAAAAAAAGUUUAGACUUUUUUGGAAUAAACUGGAUUUUUGUGCACUAGUAUAUAGAUUUUGUCAAGCAAAAACCAAGCAUUGACUUCAGGGCAGAAAAACAAAAUUUAUUUGCUAUUAUAGGUCCCUAUUUACACUAUUUUGGCUGUAAAUUUUGUUUUUUUAAAGAAGUCAACGAGGGUUUUUCAUUUUGUGGAAUUCUUCUUACAAGUACAACGGAAGGUCAACUUUAUUUCAAAAAUAUUUCAGAUUUUUUAUUUAAUUACUAUUUUUUAUAUAGAAUGUAUAUACACCCAUAGACCAAAAUCCCCCCUUCGCUCUACAACCAGUUACCUAAUCUAGGGCCUAUACGUCCGCGGUCGCGUUCAGGCCCUCCGCGUUCAGGCCCUCCGCGGACAAUGACCAGGCAAGCAUCCAAAGUCAGCGUCCACAACCGGAUCCAUCAAACCAAAUCCUCAAAUUCAUACUCCGUAUAUAGGGAAAUUUGCAAAGUAUCCAAAUCUUACAAAUUCCUGUGACAUUCCUUUGAAUCAAAUGAACCCUAAGUACUGACAGAGUACGAGCAGACCCUACGGAAAGGAGGAAAAACACGGCCCCCCAAGGUUGAAUCCUCGCCGACACAGCGCGGCUCCGUCAGGGCACCAGCCGCCGAAGGAUGGCGGCGCUGGCCGCGAGCCGCCGCCUCCUCCUCAUGCUCCGGCCGGAGCUGGAGCCGUGCCUGCACUCCCGCGCCCUUAACCCCUAUUCCGGCCGGUAACCCCUCUCCCUCGAACCUCCCCUCCCCUUUCGAUUUAGCGUCACCCGGCCUCAGACGGUUGUUUGCUCGCAGGGCGAGGUGGGCGGGCGGCCUCCGGCGCGCGCCUCCGCUGGUGAGCUGCCGGCGAGGUUUCUCCGACGAGGGGGGCGCGUACGCCGGUGAGAGCCGCAGCAGAUUCCAAGUCUUGCUCGUCAGGCUGUGUGUAUUAAAAUUCAGACGUGUGACAUUGCUUCUGGGUUCUUUACCUGACAGCGAAGAACAAUGCUCCGGACGAGCAGUUCCUGCAGCUCUCGUUGGACGAGGGAGAAGGCGAUGACGUGGUGCCUGGAAUCAGCGAAAGCGUGGUGAAGGAUGCGAAGAAGAGCGCCAUUGAGCUGCUUGCUGUCAGGUCAGCACUGAUAGACUGUGUUCUACUGUUACUGAAUAUAUAUCCACCUCUGGCGGUAUCAGAGGAAUCUCUCUGAAAACCUUCAUAGAAGCAAUGCGUGAAUGUUCCUUAGGCGAUGUUUGCCCCUGAAUUCGCCGCGAUAGGUCUCGGUGUGAACAUUGUGAAGUUUGCCUGUUCAUCUCACACACCGAGAUAGCUGGAAACCUGAGGAGAAUCAGUUGUAGAAAAAUAAAAGCAGGAUUUUGCUGCUUAGAAGUGAAAAACCUUUACUUUUGGGAAGACAUGGUUUAUUUAGGAUGGUCUGGAAGCCAGUGCUGCAAGAUAGCGUAUGCUAGUAGGCCGAAUAAUCUCUUCAACUUGCCAAUUUAUUGAGUGCCACACAGAGGAAAUUUUGUGCUUUGAAUUGCAGUCACUAUUAUUCACUUGUACGGUUAGCGCUUGUAUACCGCUGUUGAAACUGGACACUGAAAUAAGCCUUUUUGUUUAUCUUGAGCAGGGCAUUCAGUGUUUCUGAGCUCAGGAAGAAACUAUGUGGUAAGAAUUAUUCUGUCGACACAGUCGACUCUGUGAUUGCUGAUUUCAAGUCAAGGUAAGACUCCCGUUGGAUAUCCUGACAUGAAAAUGUGAAUAAUAGUCAUGCAUUGGAUCAUCGUCAUAGUUGAAUCACUAUUCACUAGCAUAUUAUGCAGAAUCAUUUUCACGAUCAUUAUGUGGAAUAAAUUUGCAUGCCUUCUUUGUUCCUGAAGGGGUCUGUUGAAUGAUGGUUAUUAUGCGGAAUCAUUUUCACGAUCCCGGUGGCAGUCAUCAACUUGGGGUCCAAGGCGUAUAAAGCAGGUAGUCUUUUCUCGCAUCUUCUCUCCCAAAUGAUACAUUCGGUGUCCCAUUCCUGAUUUUUUCACUGAAAUCCUCUGUAAUUAUAAUUGUCAUGUAUAGUUGUCGAAACACUUCCCGUUGACAUUAAUUUUUAUGCUUACUUUCAUGGAGAUGUUGCGAUCAUUCAUCAAGCAUCUCAUGUUUAUUUUCACACCAAUCAGGCGCUUCGCCAGAAAGGGGUGCCAGAGGCCGAAGUGGACCAGGCGACGAGGAGCGUGUUCCAGGACGACCGUGGUGACGAAGACCAGGCCUCACAUGGCCUCUCAGAAGCUUCCAUGGAUCAUCUCUUUGCUCAGGCCUCGAAGCAGUGGCUGCGAGGGAGCAGCUUGCCCCUGGAGAAGCGGCGUGCGCGCAUCGUGAGGUGGCUUCAGUACAGAGGGUUCAGCUGGGGCGUGACCAACUCCAUUAUCAGGAAGCUGGAGGCACAGCACCCCCCCUGACCUUAGCCUUCUGCUCUACAUUGUUUUCGUUGUAAGUUAGUGCGGUGUGGCAAGUAUCUGCUGCUAGAAGCAACCUCUGUCUGCUCAAUCUGGUUCCUGAUUAACAUGAUAUUGAUAUAAUGAUUGCUUUGCACCCUUCUUCAUAUUACCAUGACAUCAUAAUUGGAGAUUAGCUGGGAACACCUGAUGCACGUGGAAUCAGCGAAUCGCGCAUGAUGAACAGCGUAGAUGCAAGGUGAAAUAUAAGAAUGUCAUUGUUCAUGCAUAUUUAUCCGUACUUUGAUAACAGUGGCUGAAUGCCUGCAUCAUGUUCUCUCACGGCACCCAUCACGUUUUCAACUGAUUUUUGCAUGAAAUUUUGAUAACAGUGAACUCGGAAUACAGUGUGCACCAUGAACGGCAGACUCUUACCACCAAACUUACACAGAUAUACUAUGGGGCCGCAAAAACAGAAUUGCGACAAGAUAAGGCCACAGAAUGUGAAUUCCUCCACUAAACGGAGCAUGAGAAAGUUCUAACUGUAUAUUCACUGUAGCCAUCCAUCUAGCAUAAAAUCUAAAUAGAAAAGUAACAGGUUACGGUACAUUUACAACACUACAUUGGAAGAACUGUAUUGGUGCCUCGCUGCCCGGACACACUGCUUGAUGCUCCUCGGUUCGUCGGUUAUGAUAGGCGGUCCUGGAAAGCGCAAACGCAUCAGGAAUUGCAUCCAAGCAUCUUCUUUAGCAAUGACCAAGGCUGAUAAAGAGGAAUAUAGCAGGUUAAAGUUAGGGAUACCUGUACAGUCGGGCCAGUAUACAUGCCAGGGCGCAUGUUAAUGUACACAGGUGAGUUUAUGGCUUCAAUCCAGGCAUAAUUAUCUGGGCUGUCAACUGUCUUUGCGCGUCCGCUUGCUGCAGUUGUGCACCACACGAAUCAUGAGAAAAUAGAAGAUGCAAGAGCAGACUGGGAAUUAAGAGUAUCCAGACAAGAUGAAAAACCAUCAACAGCUCUAGGAUGUUGGGAUACUACAAUCGGAUAGUUUCUCAAACUGGGAAUGAACAAACAGAACAUAGAAGAAGGUUGGUUGGAGUACCUAAAUCACCAAACCUAUGAGUUAUGACACUAAACGGCAAAAACAACAUGUUUUGGCAAAUUAUAGUCGAUAUACCUCAGCUUGCUACUAUAGGUAGGAUCAGCAUGCAUUCCCCAGUGUGGCAGGUAAGUGAUGCUUGGCAUGAGCAGACCUAACCUAACCACCAAAGUUGGCAAUCUUGCUCACACCGAAGGGUAACGUAUGGUCCUGUAGAUCUAUAUGUACUCCAUGCCAUGUGCAUACCCAUACCGAGAGCCACUUCUGGAAAUAGUAGGCUGUUGAAUUUGCUAAGGACCCUAAAAUGGAUAUGUUCAGUGCUCCUCUUAGGGUGUUUCUGUGCUACUUAAGCCAAAAGAAAAAACAGAAACUAUAAACUAUGGGAAAACGUUUUUUGUUGAAAACCUGUACACAAUACACAUCUUCCAUGACUCAAAAUAUCAAGAUAUAACAGGAUUUACAACUCGAGAAACAAAAAAGACAAAUCUAACUGUGCAUAGUACACAACUCAAUUUUGUUGUGGACAGUAUAUGUCUGGUACUAUUCACCAUCUAAUUUCCUUUUUUGUUUCUUUAUCUAAGAACUGAGUUUUCAUAUAAAAUUUUGAGGCAUGGUAGAUGCAUCUUGCAUCAACGUUUCAGAAAUAAAAUCAGACUUUUUAUAAUCUUUUGGAUAUAGUUUUACAUGUAGAUAGCACAGAAGCACCAUAAGAAGGAGCAAGGGCCAUGUUUCAGUGUCCAGGGUCAUUUAAAUGCUCCAAAUACAGAUUACAAUUCCAUUAAAGAGUUUGUACAGAUGAGCCACCAUACUGGUGUUUGCUACAUCCAGUCUCUGAUUCAAAGUGAAAUCAACUGAUCGUUUGCUGCCAUCCUGUAACAUCACUUCCAUACAACAUAAUCCUAGAAAACCAAGAGUGAUCUCACACCUACACUAGUACUUUCAUGGGCAAGGGUGUGACCAAAUCAAUCAGUUGCAUUGUUUCCCUAUACCAAGGUUCCCGCCUUUUCAUAAACAAGAUGUACGAGGCAAUUAUUGUUUCUAGGAUCAUCAAACUAAAAGGCACACUAACAAAUAAUAUAUGCUUCCAGAGAUAAAUAUCUCUCAUGGAUGAUGCGUAGCUACUACCGAAGAGUGAAUUUAGUUAAGGAAUUAGCAAUGAUCUCGCCAUGAGAACAAAGAUGCGUUAUAAUGAAAAGGAGGAGUUUCACUUACAGAAGCUAGAAAACGGAUAAUCAUUAAAAUAGGUGCAAAUUCGACCAGCAUCUUCAGCAUAUGGUGGGGCAAGUACAUCAAGAACAGCACAAGAGGCAACUGAAGUGAAGGAGUGUAGGUUCCCGCCACUUUGGGGAUACAGAACGGUAGUUGGACAUGGAGCAGUAAGAACAUCAUCUGCAUGUAACUUGGCCAGUCUCACUGCAUAUGAGUAAUAAACAAAUUAAAUUAUUUCAGGCUAGCAAUACCCCUUUUGAAGAUCAGACUUUGAAAUAUGAUGAACACGUGGAAACAACCACUCUAAAAUGAUUUGAACACUGGUAAGUCAUAACUAACAUAUGUCAGCGGUCUGCCCGUCAAAAAACCCAAUAAAAAAGAACUAACAGAUUUAGGUGACGAAAUGCAGUGGUAUUGGACCAUUGGUACUACAACACAGGUACCGUUGACCAGUGUUCAUUAGUUUGCUACUUGGAAAGUGGAAACCAAGCAGAAGAAACAUUAUACUGUAAGAAAUAAGGACCGAACACAGACUCUGCAUGCAGUAUUUAUAACUGACAAGGUAUGAAAUAAGCAAAAUAAAUAUUGAACUUGAAGUAGAGCAAAAAAAUAACCUUGUCGAUUACUCGCUACAACAGUAGGCUCUACCCAGUCAUAUGAUUUCACAUGCAUCGAACCAUAUAGGAUUUUGCUCAGUACAGUCAUUCCUGGAUGAUCAUGAAGAGGAAUGACCGCUGAAGUUGGCAAGCAGAAUAUUCCAAUCUGCAUAAACACAUAGAAAACACCCAAAAAAAAUGUUAAUGCCCCCUACAAGCUAUUACUAGCAGGUGCCCUGUAGUAUCCCCGUAGUAAAAGAGUUGUGAUCAAGCAAAGAUGAAAAAAAUGUAGAAGAAACUACAAUAUGAAACUAUAGGUUCGUUGAAAAGAUAAGAUAGUUUGUCAAAGCUGAUGGCGGAGUCACAAUGGUAAACAUGGUCAGUUAUUACACAAGUUAAUAGUAGGUUGUGUGCCUCAACAAAUAAAUAUGGCUAAUAAACUACUCCGAAGUGGAUAUGUACUUACUCUGACUAUUAGAAAGGGAUAGAGCAUCUAACCAACAGUAUACUGGAAAUCUAGAACAGGCUUGAUAUCCUCGACAAGCAUUUGCUUGUUCACAAAGCAGCAAUGAGGUCACAAUCAACACUACUCUCGUCGGAAAUUCGAACGAUUGUCGGCAUGUAUGGAUCUAUGUCACAAAUUGAGCCAUCUGUCUCAAAGCAAUGGUUGUCUGGCGAGUGGUGAUUGCAGUGGCAGGAUAACCAAGAGCGCUUACAGAGAAGGCGUCGCACUCGUAGACGUGCAGGUAGGUGAUGGGCUGCGCCCACCUGGCCGCCCUGGCCGCGCCCUUGACGAAGGUGGAGUCGAAGAACCCGUGCCCGCCGCCGCCGUCCCCGAGGCUGUCGUCCCUGAGCCCGACGUCCGCGGGGCUGAUAGUAUCUGCACAUAACCGACCGCGCACAUUGAGAGGCAGAGACUAGGCGGGCAUGGAUGGACAGGGCGGCCAUGGGUAGGCAGAUGGAGAAGGGGAGGAGGAGGAGGGCCGGGGGUUACCCAUGAGGGAGGAUAUGGCGCGGACGGCGCUGGCCGGCGGAGGGGCGGCCGGGGCGGCGGCGGAGGAGGGGGAGGGGGAGGGGAAGGUGCGCCUGCAGAGGUCGUAGAGGGCCUGCACCCGCGACGACUGCGCCCGCGCGGGCGCGCCCCACGCCAUUGGGUCGGAGCUGGGGCGCGCAGGCGGCGCUUGGAUUGGAUGUACCCGGCCGGCGGCGAGCGCGGCGGGGAGACGGCGAAGGGGGUCGGGUGGUCUGGUCUCGGGGGGAAACGAUACGAUAACGAGCGGUUUUUCUGGUGGGUGCGGCGUGCUGCGGGCGGCGCCCACUGUUUGGCCUUUUUCUGGUUUCGUGUGCUCCCGAGCGCCCUCCAUCCAUCUCGAGGUGACAAAUCUCAGCAAACACUUCAAAAAAAGGUUGUGCGUCUCCGCUUCAAAUGUGGACCGGCAAAAGUGUUUCCUUCCUGUGCCACUUCAAACGGCCUUGUUCUCCGGUUACCAAAAGUUUCCUUGUCGAUGGACACCACAGCACAUUGAAUACACACGUUGUGGAGAGUCACUAUGAUUUCAUACAUCUUAAAAUCUCUCUCGGCAAUAAGAGCAUCUACAGCCAGACGCUCCAAACCCGUCUUAGGUGACCGGACGGACGACCCGGUCACUGACUGGUCGCAAAAAUUCAACCGAGACGAGCACCCCUCAUAUCCAGCCUAAAUAUGAGGCAGAUAUAGGGGCGUCCGGGCGCAUCCACCACGCCGGACACGGCCCAGGCUGGCCCACCAAACCCCACAUAUGCUACUCCUCGUCUGCUCGCCGGGCCAAACUCUAACCACUUCAGUUCACUCCUCUCCGACACCCAAGCUCCCAUUCGACGAUCUCGGGCCUUCUUCGGCAUGGCCGGCAGCAGAUUCGAGUGCUUCACCUCCAGAUCAGUUGACCCCGAGCUCAUCCCACGCGGCCCCGAGGAGGAGAUGGUCGUUCGGCUUCCGCUCCACGGCUCCCGGGAGGAGGCCCGUGCGAGGCAGCGCUUGGACUCCUUCCGUCGGGAAUCCAUUGCGUCCGCCCAAGUGGCGCAUGGAUCCGGCACUAGGUGUGCCGUCACUGCCUCACCAGAAGUGGUGCGGCCCGUCUGGCAUCCGAAUGCGGUGGCGGACUUGCAACCCCUCCGUUGGCACGCUGAGGCCAUCAUCCGAUGCAAACAUGACGCGGUGUGCCCCGUCGUGCGAGGCGGCGGCAGCCCUCGUGGGGGUGGACGUCGGCGAGGCGGAGUCACAUUCUCCGACGCCCCGUAUGGUGCACCAGUUCGGGCGCCGUAACCGCGUCGUGGUGGAUGUUGUCGGCUCGCCCCAGGACGGAUCCAUCAUCGAUCUGACGUCCACCAGCACCGUCCGGGUUCUGGGCUCCGACGAGGAAGAGUAGGGGCAUGGGAGAUGGCGUCGCCUUGAGUCCCAUGAGCCGGCUCGUGUCCCAUGCCCUAACCUACCUUGCCGGCGACUGGACAAACACUCUGGGGAGCACCGCCGGACGUGGGCACGGCAGAACCGGGCGAGAUCCCGCUUAGAUUAGGUUUCACGUUGCAUGUAAUACUAUGGAUUUGAGGUUUCUAAUUUGAGAUGUCCGGUUAUAGAAUCAAAUAUUGAGGCAUGACCGACCACUGUCCACGGACACGUCCGCGGGCAUUUGAGGGGUCAGAUUUGCCAAGUUCGGCUAUAGAUGCCCUUAGAAUUGAGACUUAUAAAGAAAAUAAAGUUUUAAGAUAAGCCCUAUAAACCAGAAAGGAGGGAGUAUUUUCAGUAUAGAUAUCUGGCGAACGUUCGCUGGGGCUAGGAUCCCGGCAAACACCCAUGGAUUUGACGGUGGUAAUUUUGUAAAAUGACAACCCUAGGCAGAUAAAAUGCCAUCCGGGAUGUUCGCACUUGUCAUCUCUCCUCGUGACCGUUGACCAGGGAUUGGGGUCCUUUAUCUUUUAGAAACAGAUUAGGGAAAGCAGACCUCACAACCACAGAUAUGUGUACUCACUUCUAUGAAUACACACAUGUACCAUGGAGUGUGUUUGAACCUUGUGAUUUUUAUCCACAUCCUUGGGAUCUGGCUUUUAGACUUUAGGAUGAUGGAGCUGGGCUUAGUUGGUUUUGUGGGUCAUUGGUCGGUAUAUGGCCGAUAGCCCAUGUGAGCUAUUGGGGCUGAUGACUCUGUGCCUUUGUCCAUUUGGUCUGUAAUAGGUCAUAUGUGCCGUUAUCCCUAAAAAAGGUCAUAUGUGUCGUCAGUUUUUAAAUUUUAGUAGUUAGACAAUGUGGUUGUUGUUAAUAGAAUUCAAAGAGGGGGCCCUCCUUGUACAAAAAAACACAGUUUCUUUACCAUCAUAUAUCAUGUUCAUUGUGAAUGUGUCCUACAAUAUGCAUCACAAUGAAACUACCAUCCCUGAUUCAUCCAAUGGCAUGUACAUCAAACAUCAAACGAAGCAAUCGCUACAAUGACAUAUGAGGCAAGAAUGUCGUCAAUUUCGUCGAACGGGACCUAGACAUGCCCGGUGCCAGCGCAUCCCGACGUUGUCCGCUCCCUUUGGAGUUGUGGAGAGUUGUACACCGUGUUGCGGCCCCGUCCUCUUUCGUCCACGUCCAGCCAUCCGGAAUGCCUGCCCGCUGGGAGGCUGGAACGGAGUUUGGCUCGGACGACGGCUAGUUCCUUCUCGCGGUUGUGGAGGUGGUAGCCGGGCCGGACGUGCCCAAGUCCAUUCACCGGCCUUGUCCGGUUGCGUAGGUGCAAUGCGUUUUCGAAUGGACUACUUUCAGGGUGUUUUUUAAUGGAUGAAAACAAAUUCGAGAAGUUCAAUUUAAGAGUUUGGCUUUUCAGGGUUUAAAUUUUGAGAGAUCCAGUGUGAUGGUAGUUCCAACAAUUGCUUCCGGCCAUUUCAGCCUCCUCGUUCGUUUCCUCCCACGCACCGGUCUCUGGUUUAUCGAGGUCGUUCAUUUCCCGGCCGGUCGGUUUGCCCAGCCAGGCGACGGCGACCAACCACACCCCGUUCCGUUCCAAACGCGCCGAAAACGUAACGGAAUCCGCUGCCCCCCGCUCCCCUCCCCUCCGUUCCGUUCCGUUCCGUCACCCCCGGCGUCGUGCUCCCCCGUUUCGUCGCGGGUGGGCCCCGCCGGCCCGCCGACUCCGUCCAAAAAGAGAGAGGGCAGAGAGCCCAGCGACCCCAGAGGAAUUCGAGAUUUCUCCCCCCACACCCCCGGCCGGAUCCCCGCCCCCUCCGAUCCCGGCGAUGGACGUCAACAUGCGCGAGCUGGCGGCGCGGCUGACGGCGGCGGCGUCGGCGGGGGCGCGCGCGGCGGCGGCCGCCGCCCGCCCCACCAGCCCGUCGCGCCCCCGCACCCGGCCGCGGGGCCUCGACGAGGAGACCUGCGCCGCCACGCCCGCCCCCUCGGCCGCGGCCGCGCCGCCCGCCGACGUCCCCAUGGACGCCGACGUCUGGGCGGCGCUCCCGGACGACCUGCUCCUCGAGGUGCUCGCCCGGGUCCCGCCCUUCCUCCUCCCGCGCCUCCGCGCCGUCUCCCGCCGCUGGGCCGCCACGGUGCCGCGCGGCCCGGCCUUCCUCGCCGCGCACGCCGCCGCGCCCUCCCACGGGCCCUGCGUGCUCGCCUUCGCGCGGGGCGGACCGGCCCCCGCCCACUGCGCCGCGCUCAGCCUGCCCCUCCGCGCGCGCUACCGGCUGCCCCUCGCCUUCCUCCCCGCCUGGGACCUCUGGCUCGUCGGCUCCUCGGGGGGCCUCGUCUGCUUCUCCGGCUUCGACGCCUCCUCCGUCUUCCGCACCCUCGUCUGCAACCCGCUCACGCAGGCCUGGCGGGUGCUCCCGGAGAUGCAUCACAACCAGCAGCGCCAGCUCGUGCUCGCCGUCGACAGGAGGCUCCGCUCCUUCAAGGUCAUUGCCACCAGCGAUGUCUACGGGGAGACACUCCCCACCGAGGUCUACGACUCCAAGGCGGACAGAUGGUCCGUGCACCAGAUGAUGCCCGCCGAGAACCUCUGCUCCUCCAAGAUGGCCUUCUGCGACUCCCGGCUGUACCUGGAGACGCUCUCGCCGCUCGGGCUCAUGAUGUACAGAGUGGAUGCGGGCAAAUGGGAGCAUAUACCAGCGAAAUUCCCCCGGUCGCUGCUCGACGGGUAUCUCGUCGCCGGAGCUCGCAAAAGGUUGUUCUUAGUGGGGAGGAUCGGGCUUUACAGCACCCUGCAGAGUAUGAGGAUCUGGGAGCUGGAUCAUGGCAGGACUGUCUGGGUGGAAAUAAGCAGGAUGCCGCCCAAGUACUUUAGAGCUCUGUUGAGGUUGUCUGCUGAGAGAUUUGAGUGCUUUGGGCAGGACAACCUCAUUUGUUUCACCUCGUGGAACCAGGGCAGAGGUCUCCUAUACGAUGUUGACAAGAAGGCUUGGUCGUGGAUUGCUGGCUGCGCAAGCCAAUUGUGCAAUACCCAGUUCUGCUUUUAUGAGCCAAGAUUUGACACAUCGAUCUAUUGAUGGUUGAGCUGCAUUGCGAAGAUUUCAGCUCAGAUGCUUUUAGGUUUGGAGUUCGGCAUCCAGAUGCCUGUUUGAUGUUCUAUUGGAUCAUUCCUGUUAGCUGUAUCAAUUGUCAAGUGCUAGGUGAAUAGUGUCUUCUUUGAGCCAAUAAUUUAGAGCAUUUCUAGUACUUGACUUGAGCCACCAAUUUUCUCAAGUCAUGCCAUCGGAGAUCCUUCACUACUCCAGCAAUUAGAAGUAUCGUUACAAAUACAAUUGGAGGUCCGCCUGUUCCCAUUACCAUUUUUUUAGCAAACAGUGACUUGUAAGUGGUUACAUUUCCAUAUCUGAAAUGAAAAGGAUCUCGUGCUGUUUUAUCCGAAUAGUGUUUGAUUUGUAUUUUCUUUUAAGUUAAAAACAUGAGUUCACUUGAUCUGUGAUGGCAGUUAACCAUAUGAGUGAGCAUAUGAUACCUGAAUGGUUUCAUUGGAAUAUCAACCAUAUGGUGUAUCGGUUCUUUUGACAUAGAAAACAGUCUAGUCCUUCUCAGCUUUGAUAUGCAUACCUGUAACAGAAUGAGGCAACAUGUUUUUGUUUUGUAUGCAUGACUACAUGGUGAACUGAGUCCUCCUGAAUAGAUAGACUGACUUCAUUUAAACUCAGUGUGUGGUUUAGUUGUUUGCCAGUGAUUCCACAAAGGCAUUAUAAACAGCGUCCUUAAUUAGCUAUACAUUUGCCCAGCUAAUCAACUGAACACUAGCAAAUGUUCACAACUUUUCUGCAUCCACAAAUAUACCCCUGAAUGUGAAUGUUCCAUUGACAUAUGAAGGUUGCAGCUUUCAGAGUCUAGGAUCAUCACUCGAAAGCCAAAAUCACACUCUCCUAUUUGCGUAGUAUCAAUAUUCCACUGACAUAUACAGGUUACAGCUUUUAGGUUCACUAUGAUCAUCUACUCCAAAG
Molecule: long non-coding RNA, 26661 nt
Filed under: Triticum aestivum (bread wheat)
Lineage: Eukaryota; Viridiplantae; Streptophyta; Magnoliopsida; Poales; Poaceae
Description: long non-coding RNA (TAES_LNC024821)
Rfam family: MIR1120/MIR1122 microRNA precursor family (bases 13597-13725)
Source: RNAcentral